This 566-nucleotide ribosomal RNA is filed under the name uncultured Ceramothyrium. Its description in RNAcentral is "eukaryotic LSU rRNA". The stretch from base 197 to 350 matches the Rfam family "5.8S ribosomal RNA". The record is from RNAcentral. Lineage: Eukaryota; Fungi; Ascomycota; Eurotiomycetes; Chaetothyriales; Chaetothyriaceae.
AAGGAUCAUUACUGAGUGAGGGUCUUCGUGGCCCAACCUCCAACCCUAUGUCUAUCGUUACCACGUUGCUUCGGCGGGCCCGCCUCCUCGGGGGCCGCUGGGGGUACCUUAACCGGCCCCUGGCCCGCGCCCGUCCGUCGCCUACACCAAACUCGUGAUGAAUUGUGUCGUCUGAGUACAAAUUUUAAUAAAUUAAAACUUUCAACAACGGAUCUCUUGGUUCUGGCAUCGAUGAAGAACGCAGCGAAAUGCGAUAAGUAAUGCGAAUUGCAGAGUCCAGUGAGUCAUCGAAUCUUUGAACGCACAUUGCGCCCUUUGGUAUUCCGAAGGGCAUGCCUGUUCGAGCGUCAUUAUCACCCCUCAAGCCCCGGGCUUGCUGUUGGACCCAGGUCCGUCGAAAGACGCGACCGGUCCCAAAGACAAUGACGGCGUCCAGAGGACCCUCGGUGCAACGAGCUUCACCAUGAGCACGCACCCGAGUUGCAAGGUCUUCUGGCGCGGUCCCCCCACCUUUUAUUUUUACAAGGUUGACCUCGGAUCAGGUAGGAAUACCCGCUGAACUUAAG